Helianthus annuus (common sunflower) is the source of this 493-nucleotide long non-coding RNA. RefSeq lists it as uncharacterized. The record is from RefSeq and is a predicted model, not a curated record. Lineage: Eukaryota; Viridiplantae; Streptophyta; Magnoliopsida; Asterales; Asteraceae. The transcript has 2 exons.
CAACUUGCGACGUUUAAGGGGUGUGGAAAUAAGGAUGUGAUGUGGUCGAGAGUAAAAUGCAUCCAAUGGUCGGUUGUUGCUCAUUUUGCACUCCUAAGAAAACACCAACUCGAAAACCCUAAAUUGAUCUCUUUUUUAGGGUUUACCAUGGGCGACGCAUUAGACAAAAUCAAAGGUUUAUGGAGAUCUCAAGUUUACGAUGAAGAGAAUUGGGCUACUAAUGCGAAAUUACUACGUGCUGUAGGGCUGUUUGCUGGUUCUAUCGUUUUGAUGCGAAAUUUUGGUGACCUUAUGGCUGGCUAUAUGAAGCUUUGACUUUGUCUUUAUAAUCAUGUUUUUUAGUUGUUAUUAGUGGUGGUCAAACUGCUAUGGAUACUUUUGUAGAGCCAUGAUUUUCACUUAAUAAUUCUGUUUUAACUAACUCAGGGUUCUUCAACUUUUCUAUGGAUACUUUUGUAGAGACAUGAAAAUGGCAACUUUCUCAUCUUUAAUG